UUUUAAGUAUAAGUAUGUACCAUGCAACAUUUGGGAUAUACUUAUACUGAAA
RNAcentral lists this microRNA precursor (52 nucleotides) under Equus asinus (donkey). RNAcentral's name for it is "mir-1302 microRNA precursor family". It matches the Rfam family "mir-1302 microRNA precursor family". Lineage: Eukaryota; Metazoa; Chordata; Mammalia; Perissodactyla; Equidae. RNAcentral also lists the same sequence under 1 other name. The record is from Rfam by way of RNAcentral.